CUGUAAUUGUUGAUGGUUAAACAUGUGCAUCAUGAAUGUUGCUCGUUUUAUCGUUGUUGUACUGGUUAUUAGUUGCUACGGUAAUAAGACGAAUUCUGGAUCGUAUACACUGAAACUUGAAAACGCAAAUUUCGAAGAACUUCAAAGUAUGUUCAUGAAUUUUUUAGGAACAGGGAAAGGUAUGAGAGAACAUGAGGAGAAAUUUUCAGUCUUUGCAGCUUCUUUGACUAAUCGACAAACCCUGCGGACUGGUCAAAUUAUCUAAUUUAACAAAGUUUGGACGAAUGUCAAUAAUGAUUAUCACCCAAGUACUGGUGUAUACACGGCUCCAAAACCUGGGAUGUACCAGUUCUCAUGCACCGUAAUGACACCACAUGAUCAAACCCUUCGUGUCUUCCUAUGGAAAAAUGACACAAAGACAGUAGGAGUUUAUCCUGGUAAUUCUGGUUAUAACAUGGGAACUCUUAAUAUGUUAGAACUCAACAAAGGGGACAAGGUAUAUAUAAAGCAAUGGGGAUCAGAGAAACGCAUCUGGAGUGAACCUGCAAGCAACUUCUGUAUGUUUUCUGGUUAUCAAAUUCGAUGAAUUAAAUGUAUCCGAAU
This is a long non-coding RNA of Mytilus californianus (California mussel), 603 nucleotides long. RefSeq lists it as uncharacterized. The transcript is spliced from 3 exons. The record is from RefSeq and is a predicted model, not a curated record. Lineage: Eukaryota; Metazoa; Mollusca; Bivalvia; Mytilida; Mytilidae.